Molecule: long non-coding RNA, 767 nt
Organism: Poecile atricapillus (Black-capped chickadee)
Lineage: Eukaryota; Metazoa; Chordata; Aves; Passeriformes; Paridae
Exons: 5
Source: RefSeq, a predicted model, not a curated record
GUUGGGUCCAGUUGGUUCCAGUUGGUUCCAGUUGGUUUUUCCAGUUGGGUCCGGUUGGGUCCAGUUGGUUCCAGUUGGGUCCGGUUGGGUCCAGUUGGGUCCAGUUGAUCCCAGUUGGUUCCAGUGGGUUCUUCCAGUUGGAACCAGUUGGGUCCAGUUGGUCCCAGUAAGAACCAGUUGGGUCUGGUUGAUUCUUCCAGUUGGGUCCGGUUGGUUCCAGUUGGGUCCAGUUGGUUCCAGUUGGUUCCAGUAAGAACCAGUUGAGCCCAGUCACUCCCAGUUGGUUCCAGUUGUUGGUUCCAGUUGGGUCCAGUUGGUCCCAGUUGGUUCCAGUUGGGCCCAGUUGAUCCCAGUUGGUUCUUCCAGUUGGUCCCAGUUGGUUCCCAUUGGCUCCAGUCAGUCCCAGUUGGUCCCAGUUGGUCCCAGUCUGGCCCAGUUGGUUCCGAUCCGGUCCCAGUUCCCCCCAGUCCGUCCCAGUUUGGCCCAGUUGGCUUUUGACUGGUCCCGUCCCAGUUUGAACCGGUGCCUUCCUGGCCUGGAGCAGCGCGCUGGUGCUCUCCCAGUUCAUCCCAGUUCAUCCCAGUUCAAUCCCAUUCAAUCCCAGUUCAUCCCAGUCCCUCCCAGUUCAUUCCCAGUCCAUCCCAGUCCCUCCCAGUCCCCCCAAAUUCCCUCCCAGUCCCUCCCAGUCCCUCCCAGUGCCUUCCAGUCUGGCCCAGGCCCUCCCAGUGCCUUCCCCCACCCCCAAUAAAGGCGUGGCCAGUCGAUGA